RNAcentral lists this ribosomal RNA (210 nucleotides) under uncultured Pseudomonadota bacterium. Its description in RNAcentral is "uncultured proteobacterium partial 16S ribosomal RNA". It matches the Rfam family "Bacterial small subunit ribosomal RNA", at positions 269 to 496 of the family's 1533-position model. The record is from RNAcentral. Lineage: Bacteria; Pseudomonadati; Pseudomonadota.
CAAGACUGUGAUCAAUAGCUGAUUUGAGAGGAUGAUCAGCCACAUUGGGACUGAGACACGGCCCAAACUCCUACGGGAGGCAGCAGUGGGGAAUCUUGCACAAUGGAGGAAACUCUGAUGCAGCGAUGCCGCGUGAGUGAAGAAGGCCCUUGGGUUGUAAAGCUCUUUCGUCGGGGAAGAAAAUGACUGUACCCGAAUAAGAAGGUCCGG